AUGCCCUCCAGUCUCCCAAGCGCUGGGACAACAGGUGCACACCUCCAUGCCCUGAUACAUUUUGGAUCUCAUUUGAAGGUUGCCACAGUCACACUAAGCCCACCUCCACCCCUCCCCACCCCCGGCCUGUCCUCUGUUUUCUGUCUGUUGUAUGGGACUAUGCUCGUGGGGAGUUCAGCUGUUGCCCUUUGCAGAAGGAUCGUCCCAGCCGAGCCUGUGUAUUGCCCAUGGAGGGGUGGGGUCAGGAGACCCUCACCUGGGUAUCCAACUGUCUCGAUUGCUCGUGCCCUGGGGGCGGGAACUAGAGUAUAUAGGCCAGGAAAAGCUGUGAGGCGGGGCAUCCGUUUUGCAUCUGGCUAUGGAGAAGAAGCCUUCGUCAUCACAGGAUCACGUGGAAGGCCUGGGAGCAGUGACUGGAACUGAUUGAGAGAACUGAGGAAGACUGUUGCCCUCCUUCCAACCUGGAGGAUGAAUCUGAGGAAGCUCUGAUCCCGAGGGUCGUGCCAACAGUCCCUGGGAGUCUCUGGAUGUCAUGUGUGAUGGGGACCUUUCCUCCCUCAGAAACUACAUGCUGGCCAAGGAAACCAGGUUGCCCCCAGGGCGCUGUGUGGCUGGGUUCUAAUAGCCCGGUGUGUAAAUUGAUCAAUGUCGAAAAUCCUCUUUGACCUAGUCAGUGAUUGCUUCCAGAGGCAGAACGCAAGAGCUGCCCUAGCUGGAUGCCUCUCUGAUGCUCUGAGUAUUUCUCAGUGGCACAGAGCUCUGGGCAGGACCCUGAAUAGGCGGUGGGCCCUCCUCUGCAACAUGUGAAGGCUUAUCUUAUCCAUGGGAAACACAUGCAAGGAUCCUCAAGUGUAAAUGAAAAUACCUGAAAAGAAGCUGUGUCUGGCUGUCAACACAAGGCUCCUGGAAAGAAUAUCAUCCUUUUUUCUUUUAAUAAAAAAAUUGUAUUUACUUAGAAACAUUCAGAAUGUCAACAAAACAGCUGCAAUUUUUUUUUGCAAUUACAGAGUGGGAUUCAGUUAACAAGACAAUGAUCUUUGUAUAAGUUGCAUCAGAGACAACUGAAGAUGAAAAAAAAAAAACCAAAAAACAAAAAGCUGCUGUCCCCAAAUAUGACUAACCAACAAGAACCUGCUUUAAAUUUUCAUGCCAAUUUACAACCCCCAGACUGUGCCAGGCAAGGUUGGUGGCUACUGAAAAUACCACCAGGACAGGGCUACCUAAAGACAUAUUCAGUAGUGUGUUAACUAUACAAAAAAAGACACUGUACAGUUUAAAAACAAAUCUUACACAGCCUUAUAUUUCAAUUUUUUUCUUUAAAAAGGAGUGAGUUGUGUACAGGGGGGUUAAAUGCUCUAUAGACAAAAAAAGUUUCGCUAAAACCAACUUUUCGUACUUCUUCAGCUUGGCAGCCAUCUUUUCACAGGGCUGCUUGUCCUCUGCAGCAGUGUCGUUCAGCGUUCUCCCAGUUUCUUUGCGACAUCACCAAUGGACAAGCCAGGGCAUUCGCCUUUGAUUUUUUGGGCGGCACUCAGAGCAGAACAAGAAGGCUGACGGAGGCCUCUUGGGUGCAUUGGGGUCCUUGAACUUCUUUUGGUCUCCCCUUUGGGGGGGGAUGUAGGUUUUCUUUUGGGGGGUGGGGUUUUAAGUCGGGGUUUCUCUGUGGCUUUGGAGGCUGUCCUGGAACUCGAUCUGUAGACCAAGCUGGUCUCGAACUCACAGAGAUCCGCCUGCCUCUGCCUCCCGAGUGCUGGGACUAAAGGCGUGCGGCAACACCACUCAGCUGGGACGUAGGUUUUCAUUUCUGUUUCAUAAUGGGCCUUGUCAGCCUUUGCCAUGUCUUCAAACUUCCCCUUUUCUUUAGCAGACAUGGUUUUCCACCUUUCUGAGCACUUCUUCGAGAACUCUGAGAAGUUGACAGAAGCAUCCGGGUGCUGCUUCUUGUGUUCCUCCUGGCAGGUUUGCACAAAGAACGCAUGUGAGGAUUUUUGCCUCUCAGCUUCUUAGGAUCUCCUUUGCCCAUGUUUAGUUGAUUUUUGUGGCAGGCACAGAGUCGCCCAUCGCCCGUCCUGCUCGCCCUUGCCCAGGCGCUGUCUCUAUGGAGCUCAAUGUACCACAAUGGCUGUGAGAGCAGGAGCCAGACUGGAAGGAAUUGCUGUGUCUGCAGAGACUGGUGGACCAAUUGGAAUUUCAGUACUGUAGAGAGGUCGAAUUUUGUAGGUUCAGAAUCUAAUUACUUUAUUUGGGCUAGUUUUAGCCUCCUGGAACAGCCAUACCUUGUCCACUCUUUAACACCUGGCGAUAACAAAUAAAAACUUCUUAGAAGCUAUUGACACAGCUGAUCAUCGGCUUCAGCAAUCCAAGAGCGCUCCCUGUCUCCAUGUAUCUGCCUCUUUGGUGAACCCAUCAACAUAUUUUAAACUUGUCUUGAUUUAUGACUUUCUUUGUGAAUGAAAAAAAAAGGGGGGAAAGAAAUUAAAAAGACACGACUCUACUUAGGUAAGGUGGAGGAGAAAGUGUGUUGCAGAUAAAAGGGAGAGCAUAGCCAGAGGCACAUAUCUGGGGGAACUCAGAGUGGACAUGACCCUGACCCAAGCCUUGUGAGGAGAGGGAAGGAGCCAGGAGAGAAAAGGGUGGACAAGAAGGCCAGGUAACCAAAUGGCUGGGUUAGAGAAGAGCCUCUGGGGGAAGGGUGGCCCAGCCCCUGGGAUGGAGAUUUCUGGGUAGAGGGUGAGGGUGUGCUAGCCAUACCCUGUAACAGGUAGGGACUGAGGGAUGCUGGGAGAACCUGGCAGCCAGGUCUGCUUUGAUAUGUUUAAAUAAGCCUCAGUCAUUUGUCCCAGGUUUGAGACCUAGCACUGUUCUGUAAAACUAUAAAAAACGCCAUAACAUGGAAUUUGGGGUGACAAAAAUAUGUGUUUCUGGGCAAUGACCACGAAUAAUGGCUCCAGAAUAAACUCUCUUUUCUUGUCGAUGCAAGAGAUGCCUGAAACCCAGACAGUAACAGUUCAGUCUGUAUGAUGGUGCAUGUUUGCCUGUCUCAGGCAUGUCUACCUAUGAUAACUAAUUGUGUGUGUGUGUGUGUUGAGUAUAGGUGUUUGGGGGAGGCCAGAGGUGUUGGGUCACUUAAAACUGGAGUUACAGGGUUAUGGGCUGCUCAUUGUGGGUGCUGGGAACCAAACUCGGGUCCUCUGCGAGAGCAGCAUGUGCUUCUAACUGCUGAACAAUCUCUCCAGCCCCCAAGUUUUUUGUUUGUUAAAGAAAGGCUUUCAUGUUGCCCUGGCUGGCCUUGAACUCCUCAUCCUUCUGUCUCAAUCUCUCAAGUUUUGGGGUUACAGGAAUGUGUCAUCAUGCCUAUCUUAAUUGAUGAGUUAGCUACCGCAAGAGAUUAACAACAGCUGAUGACAGAACAGUUAGAACGCUGUGCAGUAUAGGGAGACUUCAGAACUAUGGAUUGUUUGUUUCUGGAAUUUUCCACUUAGUACUUUCUAUCCCGGGCUGACCCAGAGUAUUUGAAAACGCGGAGAUAUGGGGCAGCUAAUGUCCAGAGGGCGAGCAAGGCCUGGCUCCCUUGGCAGGGCACGGCCUCUUGGUGUGGGCAGUCUUCUCAAAGUUACUUUAGACAACCCGCAUGGCCAGGCUGUCUCCUGCGCCCGCCUGUUCAGUUUGUUCCAGAGGCCGGUUCUUCCUGGAACUGGGUGUCAGUUCAGGACAGAGAAUGCUGGGAGUGAAACUUGGCCCCAAAGGGAAGAAAAGCUUUCCAAUUGUGCAUGAGAUCGCAGAUUGCUGAGCUGCGUUGGGCGGGGCUUGCAGUUCCUGCGGAAUGCCACCAGGAGACGCGCUUUCCACGCCUCACACCGAGAGGUCACGCUCGCUCCUACGUGUGUAUGUUGCAAAUGGCUUUUCUAGGAUUACAGUAUAAAGUCGUGAUUCAGCUUUUCCAAAUGAUGUAUUCAACUCGAGUUACAAGCGGCUCUAGUUAUGUAACGUGACCACCCUUGACAAUGGGCUGGGGGAAAGGAGUGGUAACUAGCUCUCACUCUUCAAACGACCUUGGGUCUUCGCAUUUGCUGUCAGGGUCACAGGAGGCCCAGCAGAGGGAGAAGAGGUGUGUGGAAGCUGAAUCAUAAGCUCCAGCUUCUGGAUGAACUCUGCCACUCUCCAGAAGGUACCAUCAGUGGCAUUAAUUAAGAGCUCCAGGGCCAGCAGGGAACUGGGGACACACGACUUUAAUCCAAGCAUUUGGAUUAAAGGAGGCAGAGGCAGGCGCGAUCCUUUGAGAUCGAGGCCACCCUGGUGUACAGACUGAGUUCCAGGACAGGCUCCAAAGCUACACAAAGAAACCCUGUCUGGAAACCAAAGCAAAGCAAAAGGUUCAGGGCCAUUGGCAAAUUCUCCUUGCUCCUGUCAGUUGUUAUAGACUAGUGUUGUUUGACUUUCUUUUGGGGCCUUCAACUCACACAUAAGGACACGGAGACUUCUUAUUAAUUAUGAAAACUUGGCAUUGUCCCCAACUAGCUCUUAUAAGUUAAAUUCAUCUGCUUAUAUUAAUUUACGUUCUGCCACAUGUAUUUUUUUUUAUCUCUCCUCCAUUCUGUAAGUCCGACUUGGUCCGCAUCUGGCUGGCAUCUCUUUGUGCUUAGAUUCAUCUCCUUUUUCUCUCUAUUCUCUCCUGCUUAGCUAUUGACAAUUCAACUCUUUAUUAA
Molecule: long non-coding RNA, 4706 nt
Filed under: Cricetulus griseus (Chinese hamster)
Lineage: Eukaryota; Metazoa; Chordata; Mammalia; Rodentia; Cricetidae
Description: lncRNA (ENSCGRG00000026402.1)
Source: RNAcentral